AACGAACGCUGGCGGCAUGCCUAACACAUGCAAGUCGAACGAGACCUUCGGGUCUAGUGGCGCACGGGUGCGUAACGCGUGGGAACCUGCCCUUAGGUUCGGAAUAACUCCCCGAAAGGGGUGCUAAUACCGGAUAAUGUCUUCGGACCAAAGAUUUAUCGCCGUUGGAUGGGCCCGCGUUGGAUUAGCUAGUUGGUAGGGUAAAAGCCUACCAAGGCGACGAUCCAUAGCUGGUCUGAGAGGAUGAUCAGCCACACUGGGACUGAGACACGGCCCAGAAUCCUACGGGAGGCAGCAGUGGGGAAUAUUGGACAAGGGGCGAGAGCCUGAUCCAGCAAUGCCGCGUGAGUGAUGAAGGCCUUAGGGUUGUAAAGCUCUUUUACCCGGGAUGAUAAUGACAGUACCGGGAGAAUAAGCUCCGGCUAACUCCGUG
This 433-nucleotide ribosomal RNA is filed under the name uncultured bacterium. RNAcentral describes it as "partial 16S ribosomal RNA". It matches the Rfam family "Bacterial small subunit ribosomal RNA", at positions 29 to 507 of the family's 1533-position model. The record is from RNAcentral.